UACGUAGGGGGCAAGCGUUGUCCGGAUUUAUUGGGCGUAAAGAGCGUGUAGGCGGCUAUGCAGGUCCGUUGUGAAAACUCGAGGCUCAACCUUGAGACGCCGAUGGAAACCGCAUGGCUAGAGUCCGGAAGAGGAGAGUGGAAUUCCUGGUGUAGCGGUGAAAUGCGCAGAUAUCAGGAAGAACACCCGUGGCUAAGGCGGCUCUCUAGUACGGUACUGACGCUGAGACGCGAAAGCGUGGGGAGCGAACAGG
This 253-nucleotide ribosomal RNA is filed under the name uncultured bacterium. RNAcentral describes it as "partial 16S ribosomal RNA". It matches the Rfam family "Bacterial small subunit ribosomal RNA", at positions 524 to 776 of the family's 1533-position model. The record is from RNAcentral.